UGAGGAAUAUUGGACAAUGGUCGCAAGCCUGAUCCAGCCAUGCCGCGUGCAGGAAGAAGCAUCUAUGGUGUGUAAACUGCUUUUGUACGGGAAGAAACACUCCUUCGUGAAGGAGCUUGACGGUACCGUAAGAAUAAGGAUCGGCUAACUCCGUGCCAGCAGCCGCGGUAAUACGGAGGAUCCAAGCGUUAUCCGGAUUCAUUGGUUUUAAAGGGUCUGUAGGUGGUUUAGUAAGUCAGUGGUGAAAGCCCAUCGCUCAACGAUGGAACGGCCAUUGAUACUGCUAGACUUGAAUUAUUAGGAAGUAACUAGAAUAUGUGGUGUAGCGGUGAAAUGCUUAGAUAUUACAUGAAAUACCAAUUGCGAAGGCAGGUUACUACUAAUGGAUUGACGCUGAUGGACGAAAGCGUGGGGAGCGAACA
This 422-nucleotide ribosomal RNA is filed under the name uncultured bacterium. Its description in RNAcentral is "bacterial SSU rRNA". It matches the Rfam family "Bacterial small subunit ribosomal RNA", at positions 355 to 774 of the family's 1533-position model. The record is from RNAcentral.